This 65-nucleotide transfer RNA is filed under the name Chorthippus fallax. RNAcentral describes it as "tRNA-Glu". Lineage: Eukaryota; Metazoa; Arthropoda; Insecta; Orthoptera; Acrididae. The record is from RNAcentral.
AUUUAUAUAGUUUAAAUAAAACAUUACAUUUUCACUGUAAAAAUAAUAUUAAAUAUUUAUAAAUA